This 283-nucleotide ribosomal RNA is filed under the name uncultured bacterium. RNAcentral's name for it is "partial 16S ribosomal RNA". It matches the Rfam family "Bacterial small subunit ribosomal RNA", at positions 333 to 613 of the family's 1533-position model. The record is from RNAcentral.
GGCUGCCUACGGGGGGCAGCAGUGAGGAAUAUUGGUCAAUGGCCGCAGGGCUGAACCAGCCAAGUCGCGUGAGGGAUGAAGGUCCUAUGGAUUGUAAACCUCUUUUGUCAGGGAGCAAAGGGCGCCACGUGUGGCGUUUUGCGAGUACAUGAAGAAAAAGCAUCGGCUAACUCCGUGCCAGCAGCCGCGGUAAUACGGAGGAUGCGAGCGUUAUCCGGAUUUAUUGGGUUUACAGGGUGCGCAGGCGGAAUGUCAAGUCAGCGGUAAAAUUUCGGGGCGCAAC